CACACUCACACAUGCAUUAACAUAUGCACUAAAUAGAACUGAACUUCGUUAAGUUCUAUAAACGCAUCUUAUAAAUCACGAUUUAGGGAGGAGGCAUAUGCGCUAACCAAGUAGCAUUAUGGAACUCUUUACAUAAACCAUUUUUGUUAUAUAAAGGCGAAAAGGCAAUUAAGGCCUAAUGAAAUAAAUCUUGAAUCAACCAACAAAUCAUCUUGUCUACGAUUCAACUAGCAGUUCAAAUCAUACAAAUACAAAUAUCAAACACAGAGGUAUCAGGACAACUCAUAGGAACAGAGGUUAAAGAGGGAGGGUAUCAAGACAUUGGGAACACAGAAACUCAGUCGUACCCAGUGCACAAGGCUCCCGCUUUACGCAGGGUCUGGGAGAGGUGAAUGUCGGCUAGCCUUACGGGUAUCAAGACAUUGGGAACACAGAAACUCAGUGAUAGAAAAUAAUCCUAAUAAUCCAAAAUAGAUCACAAAGUAUCCCACGGCUUAUUUAUCAGAACUAUUACUAAGUGACAGAUAAUACAUGGGACGAUAAUCAUCCAUACCCAAUUAACUCAUGCAUCCAUUAAUCACCUCUACUCACAACGCCACAGUAAAAAUUUGAAUCCAUUCCAUAUUACCACAAACUAGGGAAAAAAAAUCACUCACAACGAUUAGAAAGAACAACCCCUUCAUUAAUCCUCAUAAAACCCUAGUUUUGCCAAGAGAAAAAAUAAACACAACUAACAACUUAUCAAGCAUAACAUUUCUCCUUGUUACCUAUUCUGAAAAUGUUUCCAACUUAGCAGAAAUGAAACUAGAAAUAACAGUACAAAGUGCAAACUGAGUCAGGAGAACUAUCAAAACACUAGAAUUAGAUAUCCAAAAUUAUGGGCGCGUUCACUUUCCCAAACAUAAUUUAAAUUGAUCAGUCACAAAACAGUUAGAAAAAUACUAAUUCCAAGAUCAAAAUUAACAGAAUAAGCAGAAAACAGUUCCAAAUCUCGGAUUAAAGAUAUCAUAUCCGAGCGAGAAAACUGGAAUCAGAAAACACAAAAGUGCCAGUAAACAUACACAAAAGAGAGGAUCGAAAUUCGAACACACUAACCCCCUCCACUAAUCCUCAUAUUUCGCUAACCGAAACGAAAGCACAACGAACAAUUUAUCAAGCAUAUCAUUUCUCCUUGCUAACGUUCCGAAAUCGCUUUCCAACUAAGCGAAAUCGAAACUAAUAAUAGCAGCAUACAGUGGACACUGAGUACGAAUACUACCAAAACCCUACAAACAAUCGGAAAUUCAAAAUUAUCGGCUCCUCCACUUUCCCAAACAAAAUUUGAAUUUCAAAUACAAAACAGUUACAAAAUUACUGAUCCUAACACAAAAAAUUAACAUAAUACGCAGAAAACUAAUCCAAAUCUCGGAUCAAAGAUCUCAGAUCCGAGCGAGAAAACUGGAAUCGGAAAACGAAGAACUGCCAGUAAAUGUUACACAAAAUGGAGGAUCGAAA
This 1494-nucleotide long non-coding RNA is filed under the name Malus domestica (apple). RNAcentral's name for it is "long non-coding RNA (MDOM_LNC014157)". Lineage: Eukaryota; Viridiplantae; Streptophyta; Magnoliopsida; Rosales; Rosaceae. The record is from RNAcentral.